UAAUAGCGGUUGUGUGUGUGUGUGCUCCGCACGUAUGACGUCAAAAUGUCCAACGUGGAUGGCACAUCGAGAAGUUUUCACCUAUUCUCUUCUUGCAAAUAAAUUAAUGACAAACUGCUCCUAUACGUAAACUAUGAUUUUGGAAGAGAAUGGCGGAAGAGGGGGUUGUCCAACACCACUUUGGAACGGAAUACCUGGGUGCUUCAAAUGUUUCCACUUCCAUUGCUUCUGAUGGAAUUUUUAUGGAUUCAAUUCGUCGAUUACCAACGCGAUGUAGUCCGAGAUGUACUUCACGGGAAAAGACAUGUCACUCGUUGGACGCCGCUACUAGAGCAGCCAGGUGAAGCCACGUCCUCGCCACGCGUUCAAUGCAUUUUGUGUUGGAGAAUGGUAAUAUUGGCCUGCAAGAUCUUCGUCACUAUUUCUUCAUGUCACUCGUUUGGAGGCCACUGCUAGAGCAACCAGAUGAAGCACGUCCUCAUUACGCGUUCCGUGCAUUUUGUGGAUGAAGCUUUCCGGAAAAGAUGGAGUCGGAGAUACGGCCAUAUUGGUCUGCAAGAUCUUCGCCACUAUUUCCUCAUGUCACUCGUUGGAGCCGCUACUAGAGCAGCCAGGUGAAGCCACGUUCUCACUUCGCGUUCCAUGCAUUUUGUACAUGAAACUUUCCGGAAAAGAUGGAGUUUGAGGUAUUGACCUGCAAGAUCUUCGUCACUAUUUCUUAUAAAAAGAUGAAAAUAUGCUCCGCUUUGUCCAACACCACUUUGGAACAGAAUAUCCGGGUGCGACAAAUAUUUCAACUUCCAUUGCUCCUGAUGGAAUGUUUAUGGAUUCAUUUCUUCGUUUACCAACGCGAUGCUGCCCGAGAUGUCGAUACUUCACGGGAAAAGACCGGUCUCAAGCAGUACCUACCUACCCUCCAUCGCUAGCUUAACGACGACACUUUUCCGUUGCGAAGACCGAAGCAACCUAGUCAACUCUGCA
Molecule: RNA transcript, 981 nt
Organism: Photinus pyralis (common eastern firefly)
Lineage: Eukaryota; Metazoa; Arthropoda; Insecta; Coleoptera; Lampyridae
Exons: 6
Source: RefSeq, a predicted model, not a curated record